GACGAACGCUGGCGGCGUGCCUAACACAUGCAAGUCGAGCGAGAGACUUCGGUCUCUAGCGGCGGACGGGUGAGUAACACGUGGGUAACCUGCCUCAUAGAGGGGGAUAGCCUCCCGAAAGGGAGAUUAAUACCGCAUAUUAUUAUCUUUGCGCAUGCACAGGAUAAUGAAAGGAGAAAUCCGCUAUGAGAUGGACCCGCGGCGCAUUAGCUAGUUGGUGAGGUAACGGCUCACCAAGGCGACGAUGCGUAGCCGACCUGAGAGGGUGAUCGGCCACAUUGGAACUGAGACACGGUCCAGACUCCUACGGGAGGCAGCAGUGGGGAAUAUUGCACAAUGGGCGAAAGCCUGAUGCAGCAACGCCGCGUGAGUGAAGAAGGCCUUCGGGUUGUAAAGCUCUGUCUUUUGGGACGAUAAUGACGGUACCAAAGGAGGAAGCCACGGCUAACUACGUGCCAGCAGCCGCGGUAAUACGUAGGUGGCAAGCGUUGUCCGGAUUUACUGGGCGUAAAGGAUGCGUAGGUGGAUAUUUAAGUGGGAUGUGAAAUACCCGGGCUCAACUUGGGUGCUGCAUUCCAAACUGGAUAUCUAGAGUGCGGGAGAGGAGAGUGGAAUUCCUAGUGUAGCGGUGAAAUGCGUAGAGAUUAGGAAGAACACCAGUGGCGAAGGCGACUCUCUGGACCGUAACUGACACUGAGGCAUGAAAGCGUGGGGAGCAAACAGGAUUAGAUACCCUGGUAGUCCACGCCGUAAACGAUGGGUACUAGGUGUGGGAGUUGUCAUGACUUCCGUGCCGUCGUUAACACAGUAAGUACCCCGCCUGGGGAGUACGGUCGCAAGAUUA
Molecule: ribosomal RNA, 844 nt
Filed under: uncultured bacterium
Lineage: Bacteria
Description: bacterial SSU rRNA
Rfam family: Bacterial small subunit ribosomal RNA
Source: RNAcentral